UACGGAGGGUGCAAGCGUUAAUCGGGAUUACUGGGCGUAAAGCGAGUGCAGGCGGUUGCGGGGGUCGGGGGUGGAAGCCCCGGGCUUAACCUGGGAAUUGCAUCCGAAACUGCGUAACUAGAAUAUAGUAGAGGAAGACGGAAUUCCACGUGUAGCGGUGAAAUGCGUAGAUAUGUGGAGGAACACCAAUGGCGAAGGCAGUCUUCUGGGCCAAUAUUGACGCUGAGGCUCGAAAGCGUGGGUAGCAAACAGG
RNAcentral lists this ribosomal RNA (253 nucleotides) under uncultured bacterium. Its description in RNAcentral is "partial 16S ribosomal RNA". It matches the Rfam family "Bacterial small subunit ribosomal RNA", at positions 524 to 776 of the family's 1533-position model. The record is from RNAcentral.